UCGGGAAUUUUGGGCAAUGGGCGAAAGCCUGACCCAGCAACGCCGCGUGAAGGAUGAAGUAUUUCGGUAUGUAAACUUCGAAAGAAUAGGAAGAAUAAAUGACGGUACUAUUUGUAAGGUCCGGCUAACUACGUGCCAGCAGCCGCGGUAAUACGUAGGGACCAAGCGUUGUUCGGAUUUACUGGGCGUAAAGGGCGCGUAGGCGGUGUGUCAAGUCAGUUGUGAAAUCUCCGAGCUUAACUCGGAACGGUCAACUGAUACUGUCACACUAGAGUACAGAAGGGGCAAUCGGAAUUCUUGGUGUAGCGGUGAAAUGCGUAGAUAUCAAGAGGAACACCUGAGGCGAAGGCGGGUUGCUGGGCUGAUACUGACGCUGAGGCGCGAAAGCUAGGGUAGCAAA
Molecule: ribosomal RNA, 400 nt
Filed under: uncultured bacterium
Lineage: Bacteria
Description: bacterial SSU rRNA
Rfam family: Bacterial small subunit ribosomal RNA
Source: RNAcentral